CCUACGGGCGGCAGCAGUGGGGGAUAUUGCACAAUGGGGGAAACCCUGAUGCAGCGACGCCGCGUGGGUGAAGAAGCGCUUCGGCGCGUAAAGCCCUGUCAGCAGGGAAGAAAAUGACGGUACCUGAAGAAGAAGCCCCGGCUAACUACGUGCCAGCAGCCGCGGUAAUACGUAGGGGGCAAGCGUUAUCCGGAUUUACUGGGUGUAAAGGGGGCGCAGACGGCGAGGCAAGCCAGGAGUGAAAGCCCGGGGCGCAACCCCGGGACUGCUCUUGAAACUGCGUGGCUGGAGUGCAGGAGGGGCAGGCGGAAUUCCGGGUGGAGGGGUGAAAUGCGUAGAUAUCAGGAGGAACACCAGUGGCGAGGGCGGCCUGCUGAACUGAAACGGACGUGGAGAGCCGAAAGCGUGGGGAGCAAACAGGAUUAGAUACCCCUGUAGUC
Molecule: ribosomal RNA, 440 nt
Filed under: uncultured bacterium
Lineage: Bacteria
Description: partial 16S ribosomal RNA
Rfam family: Bacterial small subunit ribosomal RNA
Source: RNAcentral